RNAcentral lists this ribosomal RNA (429 nucleotides) under Actinomycetes bacterium. RNAcentral's name for it is "Actinobacteria bacterium partial 16S ribosomal RNA". It matches the Rfam family "Bacterial small subunit ribosomal RNA", at positions 355 to 776 of the family's 1533-position model. The record is from RNAcentral. Lineage: Bacteria; Bacillati; Actinomycetota; Actinomycetes.
UAGGGAAUCUUCCGCAAUGGGCGAAAGCCUGACGGAGCAACGCCGCGUGAGUGAUGAAGGUCUUCGGAUCGUAAAACUCUGUUAUUAGGGAAGAACAAAUGUGUAAGUAACUAUGCACGUCUUGACGGUACCUAAUCAGCAAGCCACGGCUAACUACGUUCCAGCAGCCGCGGUAAUACGUAGGUGGCAAGCGUUCUCCGGAAUUAUUGGGCGUAAAGCGCGCGUAGGCGGUUUUUUAAGUCUGAUGUGAAAGCCCACGGCUAAACCGUGGAGGGUCAUUGGAAACUGGAAAACUUGAGUGCAGAAGAGGAAAGUGGAAUUCCAUGGGUAGCGGUGAAAUGCGCAGAGAUAUGGAGGAACACCAGUGGCGAAGGCGACUUUCUGGUCUGUAACUGACGCUGAUGUGCGAAAGCGUGGGGAUCAAACAGG